GGCGGUAAUUGUUUAUCUGUUUAACUGCGACCAAUGAAAAUCAUUACUCUGUGGAUCCAAGUUCUGACUUUAUCUGUCAAUGGUGAAAAGAUGAGAAUCGUAUCAAAACUCUUUGCUAGCAAAACUGUCUAUUUUAUACAAGAUCGAAAAUGAUCAUUUCUUAAAACUUUACAAAUUAAUUGAGAAUUUCUAUAGCACAUACAUUUUGCCUCCUCUUGCAUAGAAUGAUAAAAGUGACGCCACUCAAAUUCGACUUUGAUUUAUGUUUUGUAAUAAUAAGCAUUGUGUAUUAUUUUCUUACCAUUUGGUUGAGACAAACUUGAAAUUUAGUAAACACAAACUAAUUUUGGGACGUAUGUACAGACAAGGGUAACAUUAAAUGUCCCCUCUGUUGCUGCAUACAAAAACAUUCAUCCUUAUGGGUUCAGAUGAAUUGUGGUAAAUUCCUUUAAACUGAACUUUGGAAGAGCAAACACAAAAUUUCCAGACAAUAUCUUAUCAUUAAGUUCAAAUGUACCUGCUGACCACCUUACAAGUACACUAGGUAGGUC
RNAcentral lists this long non-coding RNA (551 nucleotides) under Mytilus galloprovincialis (Mediterranean mussel). The record is from RNAcentral. Lineage: Eukaryota; Metazoa; Mollusca; Bivalvia; Mytilida; Mytilidae.